This 2989-nucleotide ribosomal RNA is filed under the name Salmonella enterica subsp. enterica serovar Typhimurium. RNAcentral describes it as "23S ribosomal RNA". It matches the Rfam family "Bacterial large subunit ribosomal RNA". The record is from RNAcentral. Lineage: Bacteria; Pseudomonadati; Pseudomonadota; Gammaproteobacteria; Enterobacterales; Enterobacteriaceae. RNAcentral also lists the same sequence under 1 other name.
UUAAGCGACUAAGCGUACACGGUGGAUGCCCUGGCAGUCAGAGGCGAUGAAGGACGUGCUAAUCUGCGAUAAGCGCCGGUAAGGUGAUAUGAACCGUUAUAACCGGCGAUUUCCGAAUGGGGAAACCCAGUGUGAUUCGUCACACUAUCAUUAACUGAAUCCAUAGGUUAAUGAGGCGAACCGGGGGAACUGAAACAUCUAAGUACCCCGAGGAAAAGAAAUCAACCGAGAUUCCCCCAGUAGCGGCGAGCGAACGGGGAGGAGCCCAGAGCCUGAAUCAGCAUGUGUGUUAGUGGAAGCGUCUGGAAAGGCGCGCGAUACAGGGUGACAGCCCCGUACACAAAAGCGCAUGUGCUGUGAGCUCGAUGAGUAGGGCGGGACACGUGGUAUCCUGUCUGAAUAUGGGGGGACCAUCCUCCAAGGCUAAAUACUCCUGACUGACCGAUAGUGAACCAGUACCGUGAGGGAAAGGCGAAAAGAACCCCGGCGAGGGGAGUGAAAAAGAACCUGAAACCGUGUACGUACAAGCAGUGGGAGCACAGGUUUACCUGUGUGACUGCGUACCUUUUGUAUAAUGGGUCAGCGACUUAUAUUCUGUAGCAAGGUUAACCGAAUAGGGGAGCCGGAGGGAAACCGAGUCUUAAUUGGGCGUUAAGUUGCAGGGUAUAGACCCGAAACCCGGUGAUCUAGCCAUGGGCAGGUUGAAGGUUGGGUAACACUAACUGGAGGACCGAACCGACUAAUGUUGAAAAAUUAGCGGAUGACCUGUGGCUGGGGGUGAAAGGCCAAUCAAACCGGGAGAUAGCUGGUUCUCCCCGAAAGCUAUUUAGGUAGCGCCUCGUGAAUUCAUCUCCGGGGGUAGAGCACUGUUUCGGCUAGGGGGCCAUCCCGGCUUACCAACCCGAUGCAAACUGCGAAUACCGGAGAAUGUUAUCACGGGAGACACACGGCGGGUGCUAACGUCCGUCGUGAAGAGGGAAACAACCCAGACCGCCAGCUAAGGUCCCAAAGUCAUGGUUAAGUGGGAAACGAUGUGGGAAGGCCCAGACAGCCAGGAUGUUGGCUUAGAAGCAGCCAUCAUUUAAAGAAAGCGUAAUAGCUCACUGGUCGAGUCGGCCUGCGCGGAAGAUGUAACGGGGCUAAACCAUGCACCGAAGCUGCGGCAGCGAACGUAUCACCCAAGACAACUUUACGGAGUUGACGAUUGACGGAGCGAAGCGACGUCAAAGCGUUCAUUAAAGUCGAGUUGGCUUAGGGAUACGUUCGUUGGGUAGGGGAGCGUUCUGUAAGCCUGUGAAGGUGUGUCGUGAGGCAUGCUGGAGGUAUCAGAAGUGCGAAUGCUGACAUAAGUAACGAUAAAGCGGGUGAAAAGCCCGCUCGCCGGAAGACCAAGGGUUCCUGUCCAACGUUAAUCGGGGCAGGGUGAGUCGACCCCUAAGGCGAGGCCGAAAGGCGUAGUCGAUGGGAAACGGGUUAAUAUUCCCGUACUUGGUGUUACUGCGAAGGGGGGACGGAGAAGGCUAUGUUGGCCGGGCGACGGUUGUCCCGGUUUAAGCGUGUAGGUGUGUGUUCCAGGUAAAUCCGGUUCACUUUAACACUGAGGCGUGACGACGAGGCACUACGGUGCUGAAGCAACAAAUGCCCUGCUUCCAGGAAAAGCCUCUAAGCAUCAGGUAACACGAAAUCGUACCCCAAACCGACACAGGUGGUCAGGUAGAGAAUACCAAGGCGCUUGAGAGAACUCGGGUGAAGGAACUAGGCAAAAUGGUGCCGUAACUUCGGGAGAAGGCACGCUGACACGUAGGUGAAGUGAUUUACUCAUGGAGCUGAAGUCAGUCGAAGAUACCAGCUGGCUGCAACUGUUUAUUAAAAACACAGCACUGUGCAAACACGAAAGUGGACGUAUACGGUGUGACGCCUGCCCGGUGCCGGAAGGUUAAUUGAUGGGGUCAGCGCAAGCGAAGCUCCUGAUCGAAGCCCCGGUAAACGGCGGCCGUAACUAUAACGGUCCUAAGGUAGCGAAAUUCCUUGUCGGGUAAGUUCCGACCUGCACGAAUGGCGUAAUGAUGGCCAGGCUGUCUCCACCCGAGACUCAGUGAAAUUGAACUCGCUGUGAAGAUGCAGUGUACCCGCGGCAAGACGGAAAGACCCCGUGAACCUUUACUAUAGCUUGACACUGAACAUUGAGCCUUGAUGUGUAGGAUAGGUGGGAGGCUUUGAAGUGUGGACGCCAGUCUGCAUGGAGCCGACCUUGAAAUACCACCCUUUAAUGUUUGAUGUUCUAACGUGGACCCGUAAUCCGGGUUGCGGACAGUGUCUGGUGGGUAGUUUGACUGGGGCGGUCUCCUCCUAAAGAGUAACGGAGGAGCACGAAGGUUGGCUAAUCCUGGUCGGACAUCAGGAGGUUAGUGCAAUGGCAUAAGCCAGCUUGACUGCGAGCGUGACGGCGCGAGCAGGUGCGAAAGCAGGUCAUAGUGAUCCGGUGGUUCUGAAUGGAAGGGCCAUCGCUCAACGGAUAAAAGGUACUCCGGGGAUAACAGGCUGAUACCGCCCAAGAGUUCAUAUCGACGGCGGUGUUUGGCACCUCGAUGUCGGCUCAUCACAUCCUGGGGCUGAAGUAGGUCCCAAGGGUAUGGCUGUUCGCCAUUUAAAGUGGUACGCGAGCUGGGUUUAGAACGUCGUGAGACAGUUCGGUCCCUAUCUGCCGUGGGCGCUGGAGAACUGAGGGGGGCUGCUCCUAGUACGAGAGGACCGGAGUGGACGCAUCACUGGUGUUCGGGUUGUCAUGCCAAUGGCACUGCCCGGUAGCUAAAUGCGGAAGAGAUAAGUGCUGAAAGCAUCUAAGCACGAAACUUGCCCCGAGAUGAGUUCUCCCUGAGACUUAGAGUCUCCUGAAGGAACGUUGAAGACGACGACGUUGAUAGGCCGGGUGUGUAAGCGCAGCGAUGCGUUGAGCUAACCGGUACUAAUGAACCGUGAGGCUUAACCU